Pieris napi is the source of this 955-nucleotide long non-coding RNA. RefSeq lists it as uncharacterized. The transcript is spliced from 2 exons. Lineage: Eukaryota; Metazoa; Arthropoda; Insecta; Lepidoptera; Pieridae. The record is from RefSeq and is a predicted model, not a curated record.
AUUACGUAUUUGUUAUUACUUAUUAUGGUUACGAUGUUAGGUACUUAAAUAUUAAAAUGGUAACUAAUAAAAACCCUACUUUAAUUUAGUUAUGACCGUAUGGCGCAACCAUUAAAUGAUAAGUCGUGGGCCAAACAUUUCAUGUAUACAGAGAUUUUUAUUUCAUCUUUGAAUAUCAACAUCACAUUGCUGAUGACGAAACGAAUAAAAUAUUUUCGUAAAAGUGUGUGCUUUUGAAGCCGUGACGUGCGGCGAGUGGUGUGGUCAGUGACCUUAGCCGAAUGAACGCGACGCUAGCACACGCUCGCCCGGACCCCACCCCCGCAGUUGCAUCACACUGUGUAUUAGCAAACGAAACAAAUAACAAUUUCAUCGUGCACAACAUUCAGGCUUAAGAUUGAUAUGAUAUAUAAAUUUUUACAGCUUUUACCAGCAAUUUUAGGUACCCCAGACGAUGGUUGCCCAAUGUGCGACCUCCACAACCCACUCCGCUGCGGCCCAAAUUGCUUACAAGUCGAUGACCAAGACGCGGAGUUUGAAAUUAACCCAUCAAGACAAGGUGAAGUGAAAGUGAGCACGAAAAGUUCGAAAUAUGGAAUAGGUCGUGAUCUGAUAUGCCUCAACUUCCCCCCAAAGGGCAAAUAUGGUCGAUUGGAUACAGGCUUAGACGGUUUCAUAAUCAACAAAGGAAAGUUUAUGUCACUUAGGGAUUUGCUAGAAAUUGCAAAUUCCAAUCAAGGAUUCAAGGACAAGAAUCUUUUUGACAAAUACCGCGACAGCAGCGAUAUAAAGCAGACCCUUGACGUACUCGGUGAUAUUGUUUCGAGCAAGCGGGUUGGUUGGGGCAGCCUAGGAGGUUCAUGGGGCUAACUUAUCUCUUCACGUCUUCGGAGCUAAAAGUCGAAAGUAUAUUUAUUUUAUAUAAAAUAUGUAUACAAUAAAGACCUAAAAAUAU